GACGAACGCUGGCGGCGUGCCUAAUACAUGCAAGUAGAACGCACAGUUUAUACCGUAGCUUGCUACACCAUAGACUGUGAGUUGCGAACGGGUUAGUAACGCGUAGGUAACCUGCCUGGUAGCGGGGGAUAACUAUUGGUAACGAUAGCUAAUACCUCAUAAUAUUUAUUAUUGCAUGAUAAUUAAUUGAAAGGUGCAAUUGCACCACUACCAGAUGGCCCUGCGUUGUAUUAGCUAGUAGGUGAGGUAACGGCUCACCUAGGCGACGAUACAUAGCCGAACUGAGAGGGUGAGCGGCCACACUGGGACUGAGACACGGCCCAGACUCCUACGGGAGGCAGCAGGAGGGAAUCGUCGGCAAUGGACGAAAGUCUGACCGAGCAACGCCGCGUGAGUGAAGAAGGUUGUCGGAUCGUAAAGCUCUGUUGUAAGAGAAGAACGGGUGUGAGAGUGGAAAGUUCACACUGUGACGGUAUCUUACCAGAAAGGGGCGGCUAACUACGUG
Molecule: ribosomal RNA, 505 nt
Filed under: uncultured bacterium
Lineage: Bacteria
Description: partial 16S ribosomal RNA
Rfam family: Bacterial small subunit ribosomal RNA
Source: RNAcentral